RNAcentral lists this long non-coding RNA (964 nucleotides) under Canis lupus familiaris (dog). Its description in RNAcentral is "lncRNA (ENSCAFG00040015575.1)". Lineage: Eukaryota; Metazoa; Chordata; Mammalia; Carnivora; Canidae. The record is from RNAcentral.
AUGGCGCAUCACCGUUGCAUUCCCAUUGGACUCAUGCACCUCCCGGAUGGUUUUGGUUUUUUUUUUUUUUUUUUUUGUUUUGUUUUCUUGAAACGUCUCAUUUCAGUCGUGGCUGCUGUGAACCCACAACUUCUCAUUUCUUCAUUUCUGCAGGAAAACUGCAGCUGCUGGGAUUCUCUGAAGAGAGAAAGAGAAAAAGCACCAAGCCAUUUCUGCAUGUUUCUGCCUCCCUGUGGUUGGUGGAAAAUCCUAGGAAAGAAAACUAAUGCUCAUCCACACUACAGGACAAUGCGGGAAAAAUUGACUCUGGAAUUGAAUGCACUUAGGUGAGCUGACUCAUUGUGCUUUAGAGCUGCUGGUUCCUCACCGAGCAAACACAGUGGGAAGGACUCUGCCCUCCGGAGAGGAUAUGAUGAUGGCAUAACAGGAUCAGGGACUUUACCCAGCUUAGGUGCUCCCUGAAGACUGACCCAGUGGUCCCUGCUGCUGCCCACACCAACCUCCAAGCCUCUGGACUAUCUGCAGACCUCUAGGGGAGCCAUGCGGGAGGCACAAGCUAGGGACCCACUCCCAAUGGAGUUUCUGCUUAAUGGUUUCCAAGAAUUUUCACUUUAUUAUACAUUUUUUCCCAGACUUCAGUCUGACUUGACUAAAAUGUAGAGAGACCUCACAAAUUUGGGGUGGCCAGAGCCACAUGCCUUCCUAAGCUUAUCACACUCUAUGGGCCCAAGUUUAACACCAUCUCCAAACAAAACAUCUAUUUCUGGCCCAAAGAAGGCCCUAGAAGGCCUGAUCUGUCUACUUCAUCAAGUGGUGCACUUGCUUGGAAGGGGGCCAACCAUGUUGGAGUCCUGGCCAGCCAAAAGUACCCAAGCCACUUUUGGAGAGGGCAAGCGGAAGUGAGGGCUCUGAUUUUCAUGUUAAAUCCCCAUUUGGCCUCAGAAAUGUUAAAAAUAAACUUUCA